Molecule: unclassified non-coding RNA, 229 nt
Filed under: plant metagenome
Description: partial contains small subunit ribosomal RNA, internal transcribed spacer 1, and 5.8S ribosomal RNA
Source: RNAcentral
UCUCCGUAGGUGAACCUGCGGAGGGAUCAUUACAGAGUUCUCGCCCUCGCGGGUAUAUCUCCCACCCACUGUUAUCGUUACUGUGUUGCUUUGGCGGGCCGCCGGGCCCCGCUCGGCCGCCGGCUCCGGCUGGCUCGCGCCCGCCAGAGGCCCAGCAAACUCUGAAUGUUAGUGUCGUCUGAGUACUUUAUAAUAGUUAAAACUUUCAACAACGGAUCUCUUGGUUCUG